Molecule: non-coding RNA, 153 nt
Organism: Pelobates cultripes (western spadefoot toad)
Lineage: Eukaryota; Metazoa; Chordata; Amphibia; Anura; Pelobatidae
Source: the annotation of a GenBank genome assembly
GACAGAGUGAGGGAGGGAGUGGGUGACCAGUGACAGAGGGAGGGGGUGACACAGUGAGGGAGGUGGUGACUGUCACUAGUCACUACCUCCCUCACUCUGUCCCUAGUCACCCCUCCCUCUGUCACUAGUCACCCCCUCCCUCUCUCUGUCACU